UCCAAGAGCUCAGACUGACAUUUUCCUGACACAGACACUUGAAGAGAACUCUUUUGAGGCUCCACAAUGCCUGUCUCUGCCUCCCAACUCCAGCCUUCUGGUCUCCUCCUGUUAGUGACUCUUCUGCCCAGACUCACAGCCACUGAGAAGAUUCUGCAAGUGAUUCAGCCUGAGAAGCCAGUGGUGCUUACUGCAGGAGAGACCGCCACUCUGCACUGCACUGUGACCUCUCUGCUCCCUGUAGGACCCAUCCUGUGGUUCAGGCAUCAAGGACAAGACCGGGAAUUAAUCUAUAAUUUCAAAGGAGGACACUUCCCACGAGUCACAAAUGUGGCAGAUGUGACAAAGAGAAACUCCACGGACUUUUCAAUAAAAAUCUAUAAUAUCACCCCUGCAGAUGCAGGCACCUACUACUGUGUCAAGUUCCAGAAAACAGACUCUGAGGACAAGGAGUUCUUAUCUGGAGGAGGCACCAAGAUGAUUGUGGGUCAUGUGGGCACCUACUACUGUGUCAAGUUCCAGAAAACAGACUCUGAGGACAAGGAGCUGUUGUCUGGAGGAGGCACCAAGAUGAUUGUGGGUGCCAAAGAUGAAAUUCUGCAGGUGAUUCAGCCUGAGAAGCUAGUUUGGAUUAUCGCAGGAGAGACUGCCACUCUGCACUGCACUGUGACCUCUCUGUUUCCUGUGGGACCCAUCCUGUGGUUCAGGGGACGAGGAAAAGACCAGGAGUUAAUCUACAAUUACAGAGGAGGCCACUUCCCACGAGUCACAAACAUAGCAGAUACCACAGGCAGACACAACACAGACUUUUCAAUCCAAAUCCGAAACGUCACCCCUGCAGAUGCGGGCACCUACUACUGUGUCAAGUUUCAGAAAACGCACUCUGAGGACAAGGAGUUGUUGUCUGGAGGAGGCACCAAGAUGCUUGUGGGUGCAACACAGAAAGAUCACAGUAGAAGGGUGUGACGGAGAAAACUUAUUCAGCUCAUAGCAGCCAAGAUGCACAGAGAGAGGGAAGAGACCGAGAAAUAAAGCACAAGCUAGAGUUCCAAAGAACUCACUUCUACGUAGGCCUGAAUGAAGCAACAGACCACGAAAGAGAGUCUGCCAGGCCAACACAACUCAAUUCAUGGCUGCCAGAAACAGAGGGGAGAAGAAACGGAGCAGUCUUGUACUUCUACACUCCUCACAGCUCUGCUGCUCAGCACAAAGGCGAUCCUGGCCAUCAUUGUCUCUGCUAUCUACAUCCUCCAGAAACUAAAGGUCUAACUGAACUGACUGAGCAUAGACUACAACAAGACAGAAGCACCUAAAGCAUGAAGUUACAGCAUCCUCUCCAACAAGGAGGCUUUCAUAGGACUGCAACAAAUCAAGAAGGGAGAAAGAUCAGAUUUUGGAUACCUGAUAAGGCUGACAGAAAAAACCUCAUCCUGACCAUCUAUCUCUAAGAGGGAAACUGAUCCAUCAGUUAAUGCAGUCAGAUGCAUAUCCCAAUGAGUACACUCGCACCUCUGCCUGGAACGCAGUGGUCUAAAGGAACCUGAUGAGUUGGCCCUAUGCUACGUGUACAAUGUGAUCAAAAUGUGAAGAGUAACAAAUAUUUGGUGGAGCAUGAGAUUGACAUGAGACUUGCAACCACAGAAGAGAUACUAUGGGAGAUUCAGACUGAGAACAUAGUGUUGAUGCAGGCAUGUACUACUGUGCCAUGUUCCAGAAGACAGGAGGCACUGAGGAGAAGCAGAUUCUGUCUGGAGGAGGCACCAAGCUGUUUUUAUGUGAAGAUGAACAGCCCGACCAUGGCCAGAUCUCACCAAUUCAUUCAUAUCGAGCUUUCUCUCUGAGUAUGGAUCUUUUCUUAUGCCACAGAACUGAGGGCCUAUUUUGUCCCAGGAUCCUUUCUGCAGGCCAGAGAAACAGAAGGGAGAUGCCCAGGCUGAGCUCAUCACCUACCAAGUUGUCAUUCCCCUGCAGAAGUGGGAGGCUGCAGUUAUAUUCAUUUCCUCUAAACAAAAAGAAUGAGAAUAUUCCCCACUGUCAGAGGCUCCUUUUUGAUUUCAAUGCCAUGGUUGGAGAAAUGCCAAGAUGUUGAACCAUUUCCUAGUCCUAUGUAUGAAAACUUAUUGAAUCAGCAACAGCCUCUCACAGAAAUGAAGCAGUCUUCUACUUCUACCCUCCUCACAGCUCUGCUUUUCAGCACAGAGGUGCUACAGGCCAUCAUUUUCUCUGCUACCUACAUCCUCUGGAAACUGAAGGCCUAAGUGUAAGUGUAGGAUGAGAGGGAAUAAGAAGGACUCACAGAAAAGGGCAGGGUGAUUCAGGGGCCAGAUUACUUGUCACAUAGAAUCAGGAUCAAGGAAGUCUAGAGCAAAUGGCACUCAGCAUCCCAGGGUUCUCAAAGACCCUUCUGAAAGGUGCCCAGCUCUGGAAGUGUGUAGAGUGUUUUAGGAAAAGCGUAGGGGAAGGAUUUGCAAAAGUGGUGGACAGAGCCUUAAAGAUCCCAUUGUACAACUGAACUGAGGAGAAGACUGAGGAGCAACAGAGUGGCUUGCUUGGAAGUCAUCUCUGUAUUAGUUAAAAACUGCUCCAAGGGACAAGAACCAUCUGUAUUUUGAAGCAGUAUUGUGAAUCUCCACACAGACAGUUCACCUCUGAGCUCAUUCCCACUCUGCUCCUCUGUGUGACUCAGCAGAAAAAACAGAGAAGGGGUGUCAGAACUCAGUGUGGAUGCUGAGGAAGAAAUUCUUUCUCAGGUGCUGCCUGUCAACUUACAACAGAUGUCCCCAUGAGAAGAGCAGCUUCUGUAUUAUGACCGUAGGAGGAGACAUUUCUUGCACGAGGAGCAUAUAACCCAAAGUGACAUGUUUCCCCACUACCUCAACUUCCUCACUCAACUUCCUUCCUGUGGAGGACCCUCAAUCUCUGCUACUUUCUUCCUGCUCUGAGAAGAUUGAUCUGGAAGAAAAUGUGAUAAGAAGUUACCUUAGACUGUGUUACAAACAUCUCUCUACUUCAGACAACUGUUGGCCCAUAAACCCUUGUUGUUGCUUUACACAGUCAUUGAUGUCCUUAGAACUGAUCUGCACCCAUGAUCCUGAGCAAGAACCACGGGAGCUGGCUGUAGGAUCUAACUCAGAUAUUUUACUGGAAAAUGUGCAACAAUGUAAACAAUUACGUUUUAGACAUAGAACACACCUCCCCCUAAAUUCACAUAUAUUCAGAGACAGUAUUUUAGAAAGUGACUGAGUCAUAUGCACAUGAUUCUUAUGAGUGGAUUAAAUCAUGAAUGAAAUCCUGACUGAUGUGCUGUUAAAAUGUGAAAGCAUUGCAGAUGUGGGUUACUAGAGCCAUGACCUGGACACUGGGCUCUUUCACUCUGAUUUUUCUGUCUUUGAUUCAGCCAACAGUGGACUAAACUGUUAGCCCUAAUUAAUAUAUUUGUAAGUACUGGUUAUUUUUUUCCCAGCAACACCAAAGUGUCUUAAUACAGACAAUUAGUCCCAAGGGUGGACUUGUUACUGUAACUGUCUCUGACCACAUAGCUUAAAAGGCUUUGAAACUGAUUUGAUGGAGGAAUUUAGAAAACCGUGAAGAUGCCAACUAUAAAAUUCUUAGAAAGUUGAAAGCUAGUUUUCAUGGUGAUUCUGGCUGGAACUCAGAAUAUGAGAAUACUGCAAGAAGAAUGAAUGAUAAAAGGCAAGUUUAAGAGGUUUCAGUUUCCAAACUCCAUUGAGAAGUAGACUAGAAGCCAUGUGGGUUACACUCUGGCAGAAAAUGUGUUUGUUUUGCCUAUGUUCUAGACUUUGCAAGAAGUUGAUAUUAAGUGCAGUGCACAGUUUAUCUGAUUUAAGAAGAUUCAAUGCAGCCCAAUAUUUAGACUUUGGCAAGGAUGAUGCCAGCUGCUUUUAGCCAGACUUCCAAGGAAAAGGAGGAUUAAAGAGCAGGGAUGAUUGAGUUGAAAAAUUUGCAUCUUGGUUAAAAAAAAUGUGUAAAUUUGGUGCCAAAAAGAUAUUAAAAGAAGCCAAGUAUUUUGCAUCCAGACAAUAAGAAUAGAUAGAUCACUUGAAGGAAUUUCAGGAAAUGGCCAAAUCCCACUCAUUGUAAUUUCAGGGGUGUUAAAAACUGCAAUCUCCUUUGAAAGUCUGUGCUUUGAUAAAAGAUCAUCACAGCAUCCUACUCAUUUUCAGCAACACAGAGAAAUAUUUCCCCAAGUUCAGUCACACAAUUUGGCCAUCCAUCACUCAGAUGAUACAGCCAUUCUCUGUGGGCUCCCAGCUAUUACUUCAUCUGGCAGCAGACCUUUACACUGUCCACAUGGUGUUGGUUAUGCAGGCGUGUAGAGUGCAACUUUUGUGGAGUUCUGGAGGCUCCCACCAGGAUUUCAGAAGAAAGCCUGGAUGGUCGAAGGAGCCCUUAAUAGGAUAGUGCAGAAAGUUGUGAGUCACACUGAAGUUGCAUGGAAAGCCAGGAAAUUGAUGCCAGAAAUGUGGACUGCUUGCUCGGAUAAACCAUAGGCACUGUGCAGAGCCUGCCUAAGAGAAAAGUCAUGUGAACUCAACCAGCAAAUCCAGAGGGGAUCAGAUUUCGCAAACCCUUUGGAACACAUCACUCACAACAACCUGACCUGGUUGCUCAAGUUAGAACUGCAGUAUUUAAUGUUUUAGUCUUGUUUUAUACACUUCUUCCUAUUCUCCUAUUUUUCUGUUUUGGAAAGAGAGCAUUUACCCAGUUCUGUUGUGUGUUGGGAAUCUUUGACAUUCUUUUUGAUUUUCAUGGGAGCUCACCGAUAAUGAGUUUGCUUUUAAUCUCAGAGGAGACUUUGGAAUUGGACUUUUGAGCAAUGUUAGAACUAAGAAUUUGACAACUCUUGGCCUGGAGUUCAUCUCAACAAUGUAAGUGUCUGCUGAACUGAGGUGGUAAGUUUGAUCCAUGGUACGAAAGAAAAAAAGAAAGAAAGAAAGAAAGAAAGAAAGAAAGAAAGAAAGAAAGAAAGAAAGAAAGAAAAAAGAAACAACAACAACAAAAAGCCUUGGGAAAAUCUUAGGGUCUGAAUGUAUUUUGUGUAAUAAAAUGGACAUGAACCUUAUGAGUGACCAGGGACAAAAUGUUAUUGCUUAUAUCUAAAAUAUUCCCCAGAAAAUUCAUCAGAUUUCUCAGGUGUUCAGAAGUGUAGCUUUUUUAAUUUGGUUGGAUCAUGAGAGCAUUAUUUUAUCGCUAUAUUAAUCUACUGAUGUGUUCAUUGCUGGAUAUGUAAUAGAGGUGUGGCCUAGUUGGAGUUAUGCGACAAGAGGCAUUAUCUAUAAGGGUGUAUUCUUGUCUCAGGCUUCUCCUUUCCCUCUGUGUUCCUGGCUGCCAUGGAUAAGCAGAUUUCAAUAAGUAUACCCUUUUGCUAUGCCAUUUCUGCCUUGAAUCUAACCAACCAUGGAAUGAACCCUCUGAAAUCAUGAACCAAAUAAACCUCCUGUCCUUUAAAUUCUAAGUGUUGAAUGUUUAGUUUUAGCAAUGUGAAAAUGAUUAAUACAUGAACCCACUAGGAUAAGUUUCAGCUAUUGCUAUGGAGGUGGUCAUCUCAUUACCACACACCACAUUCUCAAGAAUUAUUCAGUUUUCUAAGUUACUUUCCAACCCCGUUCCCCAGAACAAUUGUGGUCCUCACAGUGGGGAUGGUUAUAGCUCGCUUCCAGGUAGCUCAGGUCUUUGUCUUGAGCUUUGCUUCCUGACUCCAGUUCAGAGUGCUUAUCCUUGAGACACAGAUCUUAAACCCCACCAACAUAGCCAUUUGGCAUCCACCAAUGAAUGUUGGGCCUUCCCACUGCAGAUUUUUGAUUUGUACUUGCAUAGACAUGGCCAUAGGCAUUAGGCCUUUGGUUGGACUCAUGCUGGACACUGGUGUGGGAUCCAUGGCUUUGGCUGGAUUUCUCAGAUCUCUACCCCACAGUGAGAGCUCUUGAACUCUUCUGUAUUUGACUUUUUGUGUUAAUACUGUAAAAUAAUCCUAUAAAUCAUGUGUUUUCUAUUAAAUAUAUUCCCUUAUAAA
Cavia porcellus (domestic guinea pig) is the source of this 6034-nucleotide RNA transcript. It is a transcript of the gene named signal-regulatory protein beta-2-like, with no coding region annotated. The record is from RefSeq and is a predicted model, not a curated record. The transcript has 12 exons. NCBI's taxonomy places the organism in Eukaryota, Metazoa, Chordata, Mammalia, Rodentia, Caviidae.